Molecule: ribosomal RNA, 254 nt
Filed under: uncultured bacterium
Lineage: Bacteria
Description: partial 16S ribosomal RNA
Rfam family: Bacterial small subunit ribosomal RNA
Source: RNAcentral
UACGAAGGGGGCUAGCGUUGCUCGGAAUGACUGGGCGUAAAGGGCGCGUAGGUGGCCCGGUCAGUUCGUGGUGAAAGCGCGGGGCUCAACCCUGCGUCGGCCAUGAAUACUGCCGCGGCUGGAGCACUGUAGAGGCAGGCGGAAUUCCGGGUGUAGCGGUGGAAUGCGUAGAGAUCCGGAAGAACACCGGUGGCGAAGGCGGCCUGCUGGGCAGUUGCUGACACUGAGGCGCGACAGCGUGGGGAGCAAACAGG